GGUACUUUACAUUCUUUUCAUUUCUACUGUCUUCCAAAUCAGGUUUCUAUUGUACACUUAUAAGACAUCUCAAUUCAGACCUGCCACGUUUUCAAGUGCUCAAUAGCCUCAUGUGGCUAGUGGCUCCCACACCAGACAGUGGAACACUAAGAGGGUCACAUUUAAUAGCGAGUGGGCAACUGUGUCUUCAUGAUCAGGAUCAAGGUUUUUCUCUUCUGCUUCUUUUCUUCCAACUAGCUGGUUCAAUAAGUGAGUCUGGCCUCUCAGGCGAUGCUGGACGUUUCCCAUUUGGCAGGGCCCGUGUCCCGGAGUCAGGCCUGGCCUCCCUCCCUCACCCUCUCCUUUCCAGCUUCCCCACCUGAGACUGGGUGGACAGACGCAGAGGGAGGAAGUUGGAAGCCCCAUUGAACUCUUCCAGCUUAAGCCACAUUUUCCACAGCAAUUUUUACCAUCCUGUGGUAGACAAGGUAAUGCUUAAUAAAAACUGUGCUUUGUUUUCCAUUUGGCUCUUUUUCCCUCUGGUAUAUUCCCUUAGCAAGGAACUCGAGUAGAAAAGAAAUGAAUGGUGGGAUACAGGCACAAAAUCCCAUCUGUGAGCUCCAAAGACUUCUGACUCAUAACAGGACGUGAGUUGGCAGGAAGAUAACAUCCAAAGAAGGCUCCAUCCUACAUAUUGACUCAACUGGCCCAAGGGCAUCCCUGAGAUAGGCCACAGAGAGGGAGUAAGCGGAGAGAAGGCAGAAGCAGAGAAACCUCAGAGCUAAAGUAGAAAGCAGGAUCCACAUUAGGGGUAAUGUUGGGGGUGAACAGCAGCCAUAAGGGGGAGAUGAGCUGAGUAGAGCGAGGGUCAUCAGGAGCUGCGAAGGAACAAGAUGUUAAAAAGAAAGCAAAGGCUGAAACUCCCUUCAAAUACUGGUAGGCAUAGGGAGGCACAUGGGCAGCAGAAAAAUCCAGCUCUGGCUUUGGCUUCACGCUGCCUUCCUCAUCAACCAGAGAGGGCCCUGAC
RNAcentral lists this long non-coding RNA (1006 nucleotides) under Equus caballus (horse). RNAcentral describes it as "lncRNA (ENSECAG00000051795.1)". Lineage: Eukaryota; Metazoa; Chordata; Mammalia; Perissodactyla; Equidae. The record is from RNAcentral.